CGUGUAGGCGGUCCGGUAAGUCCGCUGUGAAAGUCGGGGGCUCAACCCUCGAAAGCCGGUGGAUACUGUCGGGCUCGAGUGCGGGAGAGGCGAGUGGAAUUCCUGGUGUAGCGGUGAAAUGCGCAGAUAUCAGGAGGAACACCGAUUGCGAAGGCAGCUCGCUGGAACGUUACUGACGCUGAGACGCGAAAGCGUGGGGAGCAAACA
Molecule: ribosomal RNA, 207 nt
Filed under: uncultured bacterium
Lineage: Bacteria
Description: partial 16S ribosomal RNA
Rfam family: Bacterial small subunit ribosomal RNA
Source: RNAcentral